GUGGGGAAUCUUGGACAAUGGGCGCAAGCCUGAUCCAGCCAUGCCGCGUGAGUGAUGAAGGCCCUAGGGUCGUAAAGCUCUUUCGCCAGGGAUGAUAAUGACAGUACCUGGUAAAGAAACCCCGGCUAACUCCGUGCCAGCAGCCGCGGUAAUACGGAGGGGGUUAGCGUUGUUCGGAAUUACUGGGCGUAAAGCGCGCGUAGGCGGAUUGGAAAGUUAGGGGUGAAAUCCCGGGGCUCAACCCCGGAACUGCCUCUAAAACUCCCAGUCUAGAGUUCGAGAGAGGUGGGUGGAAUUCCGAGUGUAGAGGUGAAAUUCGUAGAUAUUCGGAGGAACACCAGUGGCGAAGGCGGCUCACUGGCUCGAUACUGACGCUGAGGUGCGAAAGCGUGGGGAGCAA
This 400-nucleotide ribosomal RNA is filed under the name uncultured Shimia sp. RNAcentral's name for it is "bacterial SSU rRNA". It matches the Rfam family "Bacterial small subunit ribosomal RNA", at positions 354 to 771 of the family's 1533-position model. The record is from RNAcentral. Lineage: Bacteria; Pseudomonadati; Pseudomonadota; Alphaproteobacteria; Rhodobacterales; Roseobacteraceae.